This 338-nucleotide ribosomal RNA is filed under the name Trueperaceae bacterium. Its description in RNAcentral is "partial 23S ribosomal RNA". It matches the Rfam family "Bacterial large subunit ribosomal RNA", at positions 2591 to 2925 of the family's 2925-position model. The record is from RNAcentral. Lineage: Bacteria; Thermotogati; Deinococcota; Deinococci; Trueperales; Trueperaceae.
AAGCGGUACGCGAGCUGGGUUUAGAACGUCGUGAGACAGUUCGGUCCCUAUCCGCCGUGGGCGCAGGAGUUUUGAGAGGAGCUGUCCCUAGUACGAGAGGACCGGGAUGGACCGACCACUGGUGCUCCAGUUGUCUCGCCAGAGGCACGGCUGGGUAGCUACGUCGGGAUCGGAUAACCGCUGAAAGCAUCUAAGCGGGAAGCGCGCCUCAAGAUGAGAUCUCCCGGGAGCUAGACUCCCCUAAAGGAACCAUCAAGACUAGGUGGUUGAUAGGCUGGGUGUGUAAGCGUGGCAACACGUUGAGCUAACCAGUACUAAUAGGUCGAGGACUUAACCUU